Molecule: long non-coding RNA, 3412 nt
Organism: Panthera uncia (snow leopard)
Lineage: Eukaryota; Metazoa; Chordata; Mammalia; Carnivora; Felidae
Exons: 4
Source: RefSeq, a predicted model, not a curated record
GGGGCCACUAAUGUAACAGUCUUGCAUGUGCACUUAUCGUCAUUGUCUAACUGUUGAAACACUUUUGUUCAAAGCUUUUGAUCACUUUUCUCCUCUAAAAAGCCUUCCAUGUCCUCUCCAGGGCUUUUCUUACAUUUUCUUAUUGUACAUGGGGUUGUCUUCAGUUAUUUCCCCUGGGAGCAGCAGUGAGGUGCUCCUCUAGAACUUAGCGAGACUAUAUUCAUUUAUACUUCACCUUGUUACCAAAAACAUGUGAGGCAUCAACUUGGAAAUAGAGGACAUGGGGUCACCUAGGAAACUUUGUGUGACAUAUAAGAUUUAAUGCAUAUUAUCUCCCAGGUCAAGUCAGUCUUACUGAAGGUGUUAAUAUAGCCAAAAGAAAUAUAUUGUUUUUUAAAUUUCAAUUUUGAAAAGAUAAAAACAAAAAACCCCAAUACCCUGUGCUGUGGAAUUGAAAUUGCAAUUGUUUUGUGAAGCAGUUUGGAGGUCUGUGCUGAGACCUUAAGAAGUUCAUGUUCAAGUCCAAUGAUUCCACUUGCUGAAAAUAAUUCUAAAGGAAUAAUCAGAGGUGAUUUUGUGCAAAGAUGUUUACUGAUGCAUUAUUUAUGCAGAGACAAGGGAAACAUCCAAAUUGGGAAAUGAUGAAAUUAUGGAGCAGUUGUGUAAUGGAAUAUUAGGCAACCAGUAACAAGGGUCUGCAGGAAGAAAUUGUUAUGAUUGGGAAAUUGGUCCCAAUGUAAAAUGCAAGUGAUUCAAAGGUAUAUGAGGAUUGAUUCAAUUCUGUUAAAACCGUGUGUGUGUGUGUGUGUGUGUGUGUGUGUGUGUGUGUGUGUGUGUUUUCAUUGAUCAACACAUGUUUUAAACACACUGUGCUUGGUACUGGGGCCCUGUUGGAAAGAAGAAAAGACAUGUUCACUUCCUUCACUGUGAUUCCAGAUUAGUGGGGAAAGUUCAUGCUGAUUGGUGCUGAUGCUGAUGGGGAAUAGCCAGAUUCACACUGCAAAAGGACCAAGAAGAAGACAGAGCAAGUAAGAAAGUUUAUUGGUUUGAAAAAACCGAGUGAGUUUUGAAGGGAAUAAAUUUUUGGGGGGUGGGAGAGAAUUGUAGGGGUGAGACACUGAGACAAUCAAUCAAAUGAGGUAAGAGGGUUUUUAAGAAUUUCUGCUAAAUAUGUUCCUAUUUUGUUUUUUCCUUUUUUAGCAGAAGACUAUUGGAAAUACUUAAGUUACUUGUCAAUUAUUUUAGAUGCUGAGCUGAGAUAUCUUUGGGUAUGACACCAUGCUGACGUGAAACAUUCCAGAGCCCUUAGCUUACCACGAAAAUGACCUACUGCAGAGACAAAACGGAAGCCAUCAGCUGGGAACCGAGUCUUUCCACUACCGCUGCAAGGGGCCUUCCUCUCUUCUUGGCAUGUGCUAGUGGAGCCACUCCACCCUGAUCUAUUCACCUGUUGGACACCAAGUCAGAUGACAAAAGAACUUACAAAAAGAAGAUCCUGCUGACAAAUGACUUUGUCUCUUUUCCUAAUCUUGAUCCAAAGGGAGGGACAGAUGGCAACUGAGCGUCAAGUUUCAGUUACUGGCAACUGACCACGAUCUGGAGGCAGAUGGUCCUUUUUCUGAUACACGGUCAAAAGGUUGAUGCUAGUAACCUAACGCUUCAUCACCUCACUUCAUCUCAUCACGUAGGCAUUUUAUCAUCUCACACCAUCCUACAAGAAAGGUGAGUUCAGUACAGUAAGGUAUUUUGAAAGAGCAAAAGAGCCCUUCUUCUGUCUCCUUCACAUAAGUUGUAUUACAACAUACUAUUGUAAUUGUUCUAUUUUAUCAUUAGUUCUAUUUUAUUAUUGUUGUUAAUCUCUUACUGCACAUAAUUCAUUAAUUUAACUUUAUCAUAAGUAUGUACCCAUAGGAAAAAACAUAGCAGAUGUAGGGUUCAAUAGUAUCUGUGGUUCCAGGCCUGCCCUGGGGGUCUUGGAACAUAUUCCCUGCAGAGAAGGGGAAUGUACAAUACUCAACUGAGUUGUCUGUUUUUUAGCUUGGCUUUCAGUUCAUCAUGUUCAAACUUGAAGAUACCCGAGUUUUAGAGUCUUGUCACAUACAGAGUUUUUGCCCAUAAACUUUUUGUUUUCCUAAUACGUUGGAGAUGGCAGUUGGUUAUGUAUCAGAGGGCUUCUUGUGCAAAGAUAUCUCACCACCUGGUCCAUUAGUGAUGUCUGAGUGCCAUCAAUAGAGAACCAUUCCUUUGAUUUAUUAGGCUUUUCUUCAUCUGGCCAUUUUUGUCUUAAAACUCAUAUGCCCCUGGAAGGGAUAAAGAAAGCAAAAGUGAGUGUGAGAAAACAAUUUUCACCUACUUGAGGAUAUGCCCAGCAUUCUGAUGUUUGCAAUGACAGCCUUCAGGAAUUUGCGAGAUCCUUUUUUUUUUUUUUCAUAUAUAUUUUUUCAGUUUAUUUAUUUAUUUGGAGAGAAAGAGAGAUCAAACAGGGGAAUGGCACAGAGAGAGGGAGAGAGAAUCCCAAGCAGGUUACAUACUGUCAGCAUAGAGCCUGAUGUGGGGCUCAAACCCACAAACCAUGAGAUCAUGACCUGAGCCAAAACCAAGAGUUGGAAGUUUAACCGUGUGAGCCACUGGGGGCCCCAGGAAUUGCAAGAUCCUAAAUCAUUAUCAUUUUUAUUCUGUCUACUCCUGUUACCAGAACAGGUUCUGGUUCUUAAAUUGGAUUUUGGGUUUAUGUGUGUUCUUUUUUAUUAUCCAGAGCACAUAUAUGUUUCACGUGUAUUCUUUUGCAUAUACCAAAAUACUGAACAAUAAAAUUUUAAAAAUUCACGUAUGCAAGACAAAUUUGCAAAUAGGGGUCAUUUCAAAUUUUUGUGAUUGUCAGCGUUUUAAAUAAAGCACUUAAAUAUCUUGGCCAAAGCACAUUAUACUUUGAAGGCCAGCAUCUGAACAGGAAGCAUCUUUGAAUUCUUUUUGUUUUCAGUUGAUGGUUCUUGCUAAGGUCCAGUCUAACUAGAUAGUGCACUGACUUAGUGAAAAGAGUCACAGUUGUUCUGAGGACUUUGGAAAUGCUCGAUGAAGGUUCUGGACUGGGUAUGUGACUACUAUUGGCUCUACAUCCAAACUGGAACUUGUAGAAUUUUCAAUAUCAUAAGAGAUCUAAUUUAGAGUAGGACUAAUAAUUUUUUCCCAAACGCUUUGCAUGAUAUUUAGUAGAUGUGUAGUCCUGGGUCUUAAUGUUCAUCAGAGAAACAGAAUUAACAGGAUACACACACACACACACACACACACACACUCACACUCACACACACACACACACACGUAUGUAUGUAUAAAUAUAAUUUGUGUGUGUAUGUGUGUGUACAGAUAGAUAUUGAGAUAGAGUGGUGGGGGAGAGAGAUUUAUUAUGAAGAAU